CAGUCGCCGCGGUAAUACGUAGGGUGCAAGCGUUAAUCGGAAUUACUGGGCGUAAAGCGUGCGCAGGCGGUUUGUUAAGACAGAUGUGAAAUCCCCGGGCUCAACCUGGGAACUGCAUUUGUGACUGGCAAGCUAGAGUGUGGCAGAGGGGGGUGGAAUUCCGCGUGUAGCAGUGAAAUGCGUAGAUAUGCGGAGGAACACCGAUGGCGAAGGCAGCCCCCUGGGCCAACACUGACGCUCAUGCACGAAAGCGUGGGGAGCAAACAGGAUUAGAUACCCGGGUAGUCCCUGUCUCUUAUAC
RNAcentral lists this ribosomal RNA (301 nucleotides) under uncultured bacterium. Its description in RNAcentral is "partial 16S ribosomal RNA". It matches the Rfam family "Bacterial small subunit ribosomal RNA", at positions 509 to 807 of the family's 1533-position model. The record is from RNAcentral.